GGGAGAGAGAGCCCGGCUGCCGCGAUGACCGCGACGGCGACGGCGCGGUCACCAUGGGACGGCGCGACUCGACGUCGCGUCGUGCCCCCACGUUGGCCACCUCUUCGAGGUGCCCAACGCUCGCGAGGAAAGUCCCCCCACCCGUUCGGGCGGGUGACCGGACGCAAGUCCGGAGCGGGAGACCGCUGGCUCUGGAACAGAAACGACACGUCUCGGCCCGACCGAUGAGGCGCGCGACCCCGACCGCGAGGAAGGGAAGCUGACCCGCCGAGGGAAGCGUGGUUCUCGUGCCUCCGGCGCGAGACCGACGGUAUGCGAGACGGCGACGCCGUCGAGCUGUGUGCGGUCGCGUCCGACGCGGUUCGAACCCGCGGGUUACGAUCGUCGUAACCGACCGCAUACGGACGGCCGAGGAUCGAUGGAACGGCGAACCCUCACCGGUGCAAGUCCGCGCCGUGGUAGCCCGAACGCCCCGCGAUUUCGCGGACGGCGCGGACGCUCAGCCGAAUGCCGGAUCGAACAGAAGGGGGCUUACUCCUCUCGCCC
This 546-nucleotide RNase P RNA is filed under the name Natronococcus sp. JC468. RNAcentral describes it as "RNase P RNA component". The stretch from base 108 to 539 matches the Rfam family "Archaeal RNase P". From Rfam's summary of the family: Ribonuclease P (RNase P) is a ubiquitous endoribonuclease, found in archaea, bacteria and eukarya as well as chloroplasts and mitochondria. Its best characterised activity is the generation of mature 5'-ends of tRNAs by cleaving the 5'-leader elements of precursor-tRNAs. Lineage: Archaea; Methanobacteriati; Methanobacteriota; Halobacteria; Halobacteriales; Natrialbaceae. The record is from RNAcentral.